UGGCCUGGGGGCUUCCCCCAGUUCCCGGCUCCUGCUGCACUGCGUGCACUUCCUUGUCCCCAGCGGCUCUUUCAGGGUGCAACAUCUGUUCUGCGCAGGCUGUAGGAGUCACAGUGGCCCCCAGACAAGGACACGUCAGCGUCUUUGAAGUGCCCUGGCUGGCAGAGCUCCCUGCUAUUGUGGGGCUGGGUGGCUCUCUCCUCGCAGCUCCUGGAAUGACAAGCUUGCAGGAGGCCCUGGCGGCCUUGGCAGCCGGGCCAAUGUUUAGACAGUUUCUUCUGCUGUUUGAAUAAGAGCCUCAGCGGGAUUGCAUCUCUGCUUCACCUCCUCUUCUGUGGCCGGAGGAUGGGCCGCCCAGCAUCCGGAGCUGCCUGUAAAGUUCCUCUCAGCGCCUGCAGAAGCUUUGUAGAGGUGCAGCUGACUGUGAUCAGGGGCUUUAUUUGUCUGUGGAAUCUGGGAGCCAGUGGGAGCCAGUGUGAGAAAGGCGAGGUGUACAAGCCUGCCGUCGGAAGUGUUCCAAUCCAAGUUUCUGGAAUUUCAAGCUGCAUGGCAUUAGGUAAGUUACUUAGCCAUUGUUGCCUCAGUUUCCUCAUCUGUAAAAGAAUGAUGGUCACC
RNAcentral lists this long non-coding RNA (615 nucleotides) under Canis lupus familiaris (dog). RNAcentral describes it as "lncRNA (ENSCAFG00000049954.2, ENSCAFG00845003235.1)". The record is from RNAcentral. Lineage: Eukaryota; Metazoa; Chordata; Mammalia; Carnivora; Canidae.